RNAcentral lists this ribosomal RNA (434 nucleotides) under uncultured Clostridium sp. RNAcentral's name for it is "partial 16S ribosomal RNA". It matches the Rfam family "Bacterial small subunit ribosomal RNA", at positions 341 to 792 of the family's 1533-position model. The record is from RNAcentral. Lineage: Bacteria; Bacillati; Bacillota; Clostridia; Eubacteriales; Clostridiaceae.
ACGGGAGGCAGCAGUGGGGAGUAUUGCACAAUGGGCGGAAGCCUGAUGCAGCAACGCCGCGUGAGUGAAGAAGUAUUUCGGUAUGUAAAGCUCUAUCGAUGGGGAAUAAGAUGAAGGUACCCAAGUAAGAAGCACCGGCUAACUACGUGCCAGCAGCCGCGGUAAUACGUAGGGGGCAAGCGUUAUCCGGAUUUACUGGGUGUAAAGGGAGUGUAGACGGAAUAGCAAGUUUGAAGUGAAAUACCUGUGCUUAACGCCGGAAUUGCUUUGAAAACUGUUAAUCUAGAGUACUGGAGGGGUAUGGGGAAUUCCUAGUGUAGUGGUGAAAUGCGUAGAUAUUAGGAAGAACACCAGAGGCGAAGGCGGCAUGCUGGACAGAUACUGACGUUGAGGCUCGAAAGCGUGGGGAGCAAACAGGAUUAGAUACCCUGGUA